This is a non-coding RNA of Lepisosteus oculatus (spotted gar), 1534 nucleotides long. Lineage: Eukaryota; Metazoa; Chordata; Actinopteri; Semionotiformes; Lepisosteidae. The record is from RefSeq and is a predicted model, not a curated record.
GUGUUUUUCUUCUCCAUUCUUGUCACACAAACACCUCCUGUGUGGGUAAUGUUGGCCGUAGGACGUUUUGUUCACAGAGAGAAAAUAAUACAAGAUGGCAAGUCAGUCAAGUCAAUACUCUUCUCAAGUAUUAAAUAAACAAAUAAAGCAACAACCUUUUUAUAAUAUCCACUCACACCUUGCUCUUAUUUCUAAACUCCUAACCCAUGACUCCAAACAACCCCAAGUGCUCAACAUACCCUUAAAAUAGGAUUUGGGUUGUACUAUUAUGGAUACACUAGGUGUAAAACAUAAAAUUCACAAGAAACAACACAUAACACAGUAGUCCAGACUACUUGGACACACAAAUACAUGAAACCCUUAACAAUACACAGGACAGACAUUCAUUAGGUCUUCUAUACCUGGUUGCCAUUUUUAGCAUUAGCCUUAGGCUCUGAUAACCUCCCCUCUCAGCAUUCCAGCAAUGGUAUGUUCCACUAGCUAAGUUUCAGGCAUAUUACCAGUCUCCUAUGUGUUUGCAACCUUUUGACCUUUCUGAGGACCCCCUACAAACAAGUAGGCACUGGCUUCUCCUCUCAUGCAGUGCUGUUAAGAGGGCAAUCUAGCUGCGCUGCGGCAGCUGGCUACAUCAUUGUCAACCUGUCUCUCUGCAGCGGCUGCUGCAGAAUUUCAUCACCUGGACACUUGGAGCACCUGGAGUCAGUUCGCCACCAUGCCUGUCCAGAACGGUGAAGAUGAAUUCAUUUGAAAGGAAGAGAAGUGGGCAAGGGGUGGGGCAAAGUUGUUAUGGAAGCCGCCUUGGCACAGAAUCGUCUCCACACUAAAAGGACGAUCAUGGACAGAUGGAAGCAGGAUGUUAUACAUAGCUUUGGGGAUGCUUUAAAAAGGAAGCCAGGAACUGACAAGGACAAGCACAGUCGACCAGAGAAGAGAAGACAAACACAGUGCUUCAAGCCAGCUGCGUGUUCUCACACUGCAGUGCUGGAACUCCAGAAGUAGUCUCAGCAGUGUUUAUUUUUUAUCCCUUUAUUUCAUCAGAAAAAGUCAAUUGAGAACAAAUUCUCAUUUGCAAUAACAGUUUGUGGAUCCAUUUAUUUAUAUAGCAUGAUGUUUACUGAGUAAUUUGAGUAAAGAUAUAAACAGCAGUGUUCCACCCAGGGCUUGAACCUGGGGCCCUGUUGUCAAGGGUAGUAGCCACUACUUCAUGCUGCUUGCUCAUGUACCUCCACUGGGACUCUCCUAUCCAUUGCAGCAUAACAGCUAGGCCUGAAUUCCAGCUCCAAGGAUUAUUCAAACACAAGCAGCACAAUUAUGCUUUACUUAUUAUUGUUGCUACUACAUCUUUUCUUCUUGUUGGUAACAAUGCAAAGAAUAAUUGCUAUUACAGUAACUAUUAUAAUAGCAAUCACUGAUAAAAUGUCAUGUAUAUAAUAUUUGGCUUUCAGGUUGCUAUGCGUGCAUAUAAAGCAAAUGAGAAUUAAACUCAUGUUACUCAUGUUCAUGACAACAUUAAACUUCAAUGUACACAAAGAAA